RNAcentral lists this ribosomal RNA (406 nucleotides) under uncultured bacterium. RNAcentral describes it as "bacterial SSU rRNA". It matches the Rfam family "Bacterial small subunit ribosomal RNA", at positions 29 to 478 of the family's 1533-position model. The record is from RNAcentral.
AGCGAACGCUGGCGGCAGGCUUAACACAUGCAAGUCGAACGCCCGGGCAACCGGGAGUGGCAGACGGGUGAGUAACACGUGGGAACGUACCCUUUGGUUCGGAAUAACUCAGGGAAACUUGAGCUAAUACCGGAUAAGCCCUUACGGGGAAAGAUUUAUCGCCGAAGGAUCGGCCCGCGUCCGAUUAGCUAGUUGGUGUGGUAACGGCUCACCAAGGCGACGAUCGGUAGCUGGUCUGAGAGGAUGAUCAGCCACACUGGGACUGAGACACGGCCCAGACUCCUACGGGAGGCAGCAGUGGGGAAUAUUGGACAAUGGGGGCGAACCCUGAUCCAGCCAUGCCGCGUGAGUGAUGAAGGCCCUAGGGUUGUAAAGCUCUUUCGGCGGGGACGGAUAAUGACGGUAC